UACAGAGGGUGCGAGCGUUAAUCGGAAUUACUGGGCGUAAAGCGUGCGUAGACGGUUAUUUAAGUCGGAUGUGAAAGCCCCGGGCUCAACCUGGGAAUUGCAUUCGAGACUGAAUAGCUAGGGUGCGGUAGAGGGAAGCGGAAUUUCCGGUGUAGCGGUGAAAUGCGCAGAUAUCGGGAGGAACACCAAUUGCGAAGGCAGCUCGCUGGGACGUAACUGACGCUGAGACGCGAAAGCGUGGGGAGCAAACAGG
This 253-nucleotide ribosomal RNA is filed under the name uncultured bacterium. Its description in RNAcentral is "partial 16S ribosomal RNA". It matches the Rfam family "Bacterial small subunit ribosomal RNA", at positions 524 to 776 of the family's 1533-position model. The record is from RNAcentral.